UAGAACACUCCUGGACGAAUGAGGGACUACACCGUACUACAAAAAAGUCAAGCCGGGUUGUGGAGGUAGCAGUGGAGGAGAGAGACAGGGAGGAACAAGAAGCUGUAGACUAGAAUAUGGCUAUUGUGUACUCCACAGCCACCUCUGAUCACCAGGGAGUCAGUCAAGAGCGAGCGUUUACUACCAUCAACAUGGAAACCACCAACAUGGCUGCUGCCACUGACCCUGCCAUAGCUAUGACCACCGUGGGGUUAUUAGCAGCCCCUUGUGGAGCACCUUGGUCUGAAGCCUUGAUCAGACUGACAUCAGCAU
Siniperca chuatsi (mandarin fish) is the source of this 312-nucleotide long non-coding RNA. RefSeq lists it as uncharacterized. The transcript has 3 exons. The record is from RefSeq and is a predicted model, not a curated record. Lineage: Eukaryota; Metazoa; Chordata; Actinopteri; Centrarchiformes; Sinipercidae.